AGGCCCGCGGACUGCCGCCCGUGCAGCCGUACACGGGUGCUUCGUGCUGCCCUGCGCUUUCCAGUCGUGGAGCUAGUCUCACGGGUGGACGACGCGUGCGCCCGCGGUCAGGGCUGUGUGCCCUAGGUGCCCCGGGCGCCGCGGCAGCCACACCGCCGUCCCCACCGCUCUCCUGCAUCCCCACUCUGUCCGUACUUGCACGCGUGCCUGCACCUGUGUUCCCGCGGAAACGCGGUCACCGCGCACACUCCCGCGUCCCACUUCACGGACUGCGUGUGAAGUCCGCCCGCUCACGAUCGCGGUGCUGCGGGUCUCUGCGUGACACGACCCGUCCUGCUGCCUCUACCGUCCAUCCAACAAGUGUUUAACGAAUGCCUACUGUGUGCCAGGGGAUGCAGCCCUGGUUGGGCCAGUGAAAAUACAACAUAGGAUGGGACAGGUUAAAUGACUUUUGGUUUUGCCUCAGGAACACAUUCCAGCCUUGCCAUAUCACUCAGGAUAAGAAGGCAAUGAUCUCCUGCAUUCCACUGGACACGAUUCAUUUGCAUUUCUGUGAAUGAAAAUCAUUUGCACUGUUAGCAGUUUGCUACAACUGGAAGAGUUGUAAGGUAGCUGCAAAUAUAUGACAAUCUCUGUUAUGGACUGAAUGUUUGUGCCCCUCCAAAAUCCAUAUGUUGAAACCCUACCUCCUAACGUCAUGGUAUUAGGAGGUGGGAUAUGUGGAGGUAAUUAGGAUUAAGAUGUCAUAAGGGUAGAACCCUCCAGAAUGGGAUUAGGGUCCUGGUAAAGAAUCCUGAGAAACCUGCUUCCUCACUGUGGUCUUCAGCCAUGCGUGGACACAAUGGGAAGACUGCCUUCCGAACACAGGAAGGGGCCCUCACCAGAACCCAGCCUCUCGGACCACCCUGAUGUGGGACUUUACACCUUCGGGAACCAGAAGAUACAAACUUUGGUUAGACAGA
Long non-coding RNA from Lynx canadensis (Canada lynx), 962 nucleotides. RefSeq lists it as uncharacterized. Lineage: Eukaryota; Metazoa; Chordata; Mammalia; Carnivora; Felidae. The transcript is spliced from 3 exons. The record is from RefSeq and is a predicted model, not a curated record.